Molecule: ribosomal RNA, 200 nt
Filed under: uncultured bacterium
Lineage: Bacteria
Description: partial 16S ribosomal RNA
Rfam family: Bacterial small subunit ribosomal RNA
Source: RNAcentral
AGAGUUUGAUCAUGGCUCAGGACUAACGCUGGCGGCGUGCCUAACACAUGCAAGUCGAACGAGAGUAGCAAUACUCUAGUGGCAGACGGGUGAGUAACACGUGGUCAACCUUCCUUUUAGUGGGGGAUAACUAGCCGAAAGGUUAGCUAAUACCGCAUACGAUCUUCGAGCGGCAUCGCUUGAAGAGGAAAGGAGCAAUC